AGUAACACGUGGAUAGCCUACCUAUAAGACUGGGAUAACUUCGGGAAACCGGAGCUAAUACCAGAUAACAUGUUGAACCGCAUGGUUCAACAGUGAAAGACGGUCUUGCUGUCACUUAUAGAUGGAUCCGCGCCGCAUUAGCUAGUUGGUAAGGUAACGGCCUACCAAGGCAACGAUGCGUAGCCGACCUGAGAGGGUGAUCGGCCACACUGGAACUGGGACACGGUCCAG
RNAcentral lists this ribosomal RNA (231 nucleotides) under uncultured Staphylococcus sp. Its description in RNAcentral is "partial 16S ribosomal RNA". It matches the Rfam family "Bacterial small subunit ribosomal RNA", at positions 109 to 334 of the family's 1533-position model. Lineage: Bacteria; Bacillati; Bacillota; Bacilli; Caryophanales; Staphylococcaceae. The record is from RNAcentral.